Molecule: long non-coding RNA, 559 nt
Filed under: Prunus dulcis (almond)
Lineage: Eukaryota; Viridiplantae; Streptophyta; Magnoliopsida; Rosales; Rosaceae
Description: sRNA ncRNA
Source: RNAcentral
GUCUCCACCCGUUGCCCUAGCUAAGGGCAAUUACUAUUCAUUUUUUUGUUUUUUUCACAAAUGUUUUAAUAAAAAUAAUUAAUUUAGAUAAUAUUUUUGGAUAAUAUUUUUGGGUUCGUACAUAUCAAUAUUUAUUAUAAAAUUCAUAUCUCAAUCGGAAAUUUUUUUGGUAUUUAUAGAAAAAAAAAGAGUAUUUUUUUGGUAUUUUUUUUAAAAAAAAUUCAAUUUUUUUCAUUUUUUUAUUGCACAAAAAUUGGCUGCCGUUGGAUUGGAGAAAAAAAAUCUGAUCGGAGAGCUCAGAGUGCGACACGUGGACUUUUAGUAGUACUGUAGCGGAUACUGUAGCACUGCGCGGCACUGUAGCGGGGCACUGUAGCGAUAAUGUAGCUGCUGACGUCAGCAACCGAGUUUUGGACCUGGGGCUGGUUUGGCCUUCGGGCUGGCCCGAGUUGGUGGGUCCCACACCAAACUCGGGCUUGGGCUGCACGCUGGAGGGACUUUUUUUUUUUUUUUUUCUGCCCUUGCCUCGGGCUGGGCUCCCUCGCUGGAGCUGGCCUUA